RNAcentral lists this ribosomal RNA (162 nucleotides) under uncultured bacterium. RNAcentral describes it as "partial 16S ribosomal RNA". It matches the Rfam family "Bacterial small subunit ribosomal RNA", at positions 355 to 535 of the family's 1533-position model. The record is from RNAcentral.
UGGGGAAUAUUGGACAAUGGGCGCAAGCCUGAUCCAGCAAUGCCGCGUGAGUGAUGAAGGCCUUCGGGUUGUAAAGCUCUUUCGCCCGCGACGCGGUAGCGGGAGAAGAAGCCCCGGCUAACUUCAUGCCAGCAGCCGCGGUAAAACCGGUUACUCCUACGG